UGCAGACAGCUGCUUCUGACUCGGCUCGUGC
This 31-nucleotide non-coding RNA is filed under the name Homo sapiens (human). The record is from RNAcentral. Lineage: Eukaryota; Metazoa; Chordata; Mammalia; Primates; Hominidae.